GGACGCGCGUGGAGGACGCGCGCCAUCCCCCCCGACGUGGUAUUCGGCGCGCGUCGUCGCCGGUCCUCUAGCCACGCCGCUCCUCCUCCCACGGCACUGUCAUGUCUCGUUAUUGCACACACCUGGUGUCCAUUCCCUCAUUAGGUUGCCUAUAUUAGUUCCUGUGUUUCUGGGUGUCUUUGUGUGGUAUUGUUCUAUGUCUUUAUAUUGUGGAGAGAGGCACGUUCGUUGAGCGUUUUAUCGCCGUGUAUAGCGUGCCUUUGUUGUAUUAUUAUUAUUUUUGAGAAUACAGUUUUGUUUAUCGCCUCCCUGCGUUUGGCUCCAAGUUCUUCGACACACUCCACUACACCCAGCCGUGACAGAACACCUGGAUUUUGGCUGGAUUGUUCCUUAGAGAUCCUCUCGAGCGUUGUCAAAUAGGAUGGGGAGCGUCGGUGAAACGCAAUCUUAAAGUCUACUCACAUGUUCAAUGGGUUUCAAAUCCAGGAUUUGCCUGGGCCCUCAAAGAUCUUCACAGACAAGCUACACCAUAGGGAUGGUAUUAGCCAGGUGAUGAGCUUUACCUCUUUUUCAACAGCCAAUGCCCUUGGCAUUUAUUAAAAGUCAGAGGUUUGCAGAAAUUACAACUUAUAGCUUUCUACUUGACAAGUAGGAUACAUCACUUCAUUUAGCUAGUUGGCUAGAUAGACAAGGAAAUCUGUGUGUAGGUUACUAGAUAGUAUAAUUGUUUCUCUGUCAUCAUCUAUGUAGAUAAUAAUUCAAUAUUCUUGUUUAUUCUAUUUGUAUGAGCGCAUAUCCAUUUUGGAAGGUUUCUCUAAAGUCUACGACCGAGACAAUAAGCUAAGUUGUGUCCGAGCAGACGAUGAGCCCACGUUAGCUAGCAUUAUGUCUGAGCAGACACGCUUUAUUCCAUUUCCUCCUGGAAAAUAGUGUUACAACCUGGUGUUCUCUGCAAAAUGUUAAGAAAAACAAACAUGUAUUGUGGUUGUUUGACUAAACCUUUUGCAUAUUAAGCGAAUCGAAGAAGCAAUUAUAUUACCUUUUAGUUUGAUUUAGCCGUGUGAAAACUGGUCAAAGUAAGCACAUUAUUUUUCCAGCUAACGGUAGCUAGCACGAUUAUGGUUUCAUAUUUGCUAGAUAGCCAUCAACGAAUCUCUGAAAUAUGACAAUGCAUCUUACGCAAUAGAUAGCCCAGAUGGCGUUUUGAUUGGUUUAGCUGUUCACACUGUGUUCCGUAGUUAUGGAAUGGGCUCAUCAACAUUUAGCCCAUUUAAAACAAAAGUUUGUUUUCAUUGUUCCAGCAUCGACGGUUGGAGGUGACACUGCUUCAUACCGACUAGUUCAGUAUCUUCAACAUCAACAUUUGUGGGUUCAACUGCAGACACAAAAUGAACAGUGCAAAGAGGAGUGGGAGGCCCCGGUGCACAGCUGAGCAAGAGGACAAAUACAUUAGAGUGUUUAGUUUGAGAAACAGACACCAGUCACAGGUCCUCAACUGGCAGCUUCAUGAAAUAGUACAAGCAAAACACCAGUCUCAACAUCAACAGUGAAGAAACGACUCCAGGAUUCUGGCCUUCUACGCAGAGUUUUUCUGUCCAGUGUCUGUUCUUUUGCCUAUCUUAAUCUUUUUUUUUAUUGGCCACUCUGAGAAAUUGCUUUUUCUUUGCAACUCUAAGAUAUACAGCACUCAUGUAAUAGGCUGGGCAAUGCCAG
Molecule: long non-coding RNA, 1713 nt
Organism: Esox lucius (northern pike)
Lineage: Eukaryota; Metazoa; Chordata; Actinopteri; Esociformes; Esocidae
Source: Ensembl